RNAcentral lists this unclassified non-coding RNA (334 nucleotides) under soil metagenome. RNAcentral describes it as "partial contains 5.8S ribosomal RNA, internal transcribed spacer 2, and large subunit ribosomal RNA". The stretch from base 1 to 120 matches the Rfam family "5.8S ribosomal RNA", at positions 35 to 154 of the family's 154-position model. The record is from RNAcentral.
GAUGAAGAACGUAGCGAAAUGCGAUAAGUAAUGUGAAUUGCAGAAUUCAGUGAAUCAUCGAAUCUUUGAACGCACAUUGCGCCCGCUAGUAUUCUGGCGGGCAUGCCUGUUCGAGCGUCAUUUCAACCAUCAAGCCCUGCUUGUGUUGGGGUCCUGCGGCUGCCCGCAGGCCCUGAAAACCAGUGGCGGGCUCGCUAGUCACACCGAGCGCGGUAGCACAUCUCGCUCAGGGCGUGCGGCGGGUUCUUGCCGUAAAACACCCCCUUUUUACCAAGGUUGACCUCGGAUCAGGUAGGAAUACCCGCUGAACUUAAGCAUAUCAAUAAGCGGAGGA